RNAcentral lists this long non-coding RNA (2062 nucleotides) under Homo sapiens (human). RNAcentral describes it as "HSALNT0199671". Lineage: Eukaryota; Metazoa; Chordata; Mammalia; Primates; Hominidae. The record is from RNAcentral.
GCGGUGACUUCAUAUUCAUCAGGAAUAGGUAUAAUCUAUUCUGUGCACAGUUGAUUUAGGGCAGAAAUAAAAGCUCAGACAACAAAGCAAGGCUCCUCUUACACACUACUAUGUCUGAAUACAAAUGGUUCAUAAUUGAAGGCUAAACUUCCUCAUCUCACCCACAGCCAGCUGCAAGGGCAAACAUGGACACUCUGUUGCAUCAUAUAGAAACUGCUGGGCAUGCAGGAGUGUGGAAGACAAAAGGCUGGCAAUGUGUCAGGCUCUGUGGGGCAGGGUCAACUGCAAUGAGUGCUUAUAUGCGAGGCGAGUGUUUAGCACGGGGAGAAGGGCCCAUCGCACUGCAGGAAGCCUUCUCCCUGAGACUCGGGGCAAUGCCUUGGGAGAGUAUGGGGUGGUACUUCCUAUUAAAAUGUGGCAUAGAAGGGGUUAUUUGCGGAUGUUCUCGUCUUCUGCAGCUUUGAGGCUGAGAUCUCAAGGCCUUGGGCAGACUGGAAUCUUUUCAAUUCCACAGAAGUGCUGUUGGCGAAGAAAGAACAUUCGUUUGGUGUUGCUCUCCUUGCUUUUCACUCUUUUCCCCUCGCUUUUCUGAUUGAUUCGCUUUUACUAGCUCUUGCUUGCUCUGAAAUCUCCGGAAAAGCCAGGUUUUGAUUCCUUAUGUUUCUCUAGUUCUCCCCUUUUCCUUCCUAUUACCACCUUCCUUUUUCACAGGAGCCAGAGAGGUGGUCUCUGCGUGCUUCCCACACCACAUUGACAAGGAAAGGGAGGGACAUUCCAAGGCUGGAAGCCCUGCCAGGACUGGGUGCAUUAUAAGGUGGUGACUGACUGUGGUGAAAGUCCCUUCGAUGUCCUACGGAUUCUCCCAUGUGACUGACGCGAGAUGCGUGGCUCUAUUCAUUUUAAUUACAUUUAGAAUCAGUAUUUAUAUCUUGAAAUGAGUCUUCUUCCUCCAAGCCUUUGCCGGCACACUGUUUUUCAUCUUGGCAUUCUCCCAGAUUUAAAAAAUUGACCUGAGAUGGACACAGGGGUGGAAGAGGUUUUGGUGCCCUGUGUCUUUCUCUCUACUGAUAAGACUUUUGCUUCUAAAGAGAGACUGGCCCCACUAACAGCAAUGAUAUUGGCACUGCACAUUAUUCAGAAGCUACGGGGGGCAGGAAUGGUUUAUAGCUAUGGACAUUAACUUUGAAUAAUGUGUAUUCUUAGUAAAACCUCUAAGAUUAAAAAAAUUAAAAUGUUUGCUUAAGUAACGAGAUUCAUUGGCUGACUCUAUUGGGAUGUGAUUCACAAGUCAAUUCAUGCUGGGGCAUCUGUCAAAGAAGAGAACCCUAGAAAAGUAGCCUGUCACCCUUAUUUCUGGGGAAUAAGAGGCAAGCUAUUAAGGCCAUUUCUCAAAACUAAACAGCCAUCCUCACAACAAUGACAGCAGCCAUCCCACCCUCUGCGAUGACAUACAAAUAUGGAAAAAUGUUAUGUGCAGAUUCUCUAAAUUAAAAAUGAGGAGGGACAAAGGGGAACACACAUUCAGUUCAGUCAAAGACAACUUCAAAUGAAGAAGUUACUGCUAUUUUUCUGCACUGAAAAUUGAUUUCUGGUUCACCAAGAGACCAGCCUGAUUCUAAGUGUGGUCUCAGUAUUGGGGUCUCUACAAGCAUCACUAGCCAGCUCAUUCCUGCCCACUGAGCCCAAGGACCAGGGUAAAUCAAUAAAAAGUACAAAUAAUCUUAGGUUGGUACAGAUUCUCUGCAUGGCAUCAAAAAGUAUGAUGAACAGGGACUAUUACAGAAUAGCUGCCUGGAAAUAUACCCACUAUUCAGGGCUGCAAUUUAUCAAUUAAGAACACAACUUUUAUUUUGGACAGAAUGUCUAAGAAGCUAAUGGGUGUUAAUUUGGAGGAGCAAAGCCUUUGUUUUGUAAAGUACAGGACGGACAGCACUCUGGAUUUAAUCACAGUCCACCAUUAUGGUGGGCCCCAAAAGUCUCGGAGGCAGCAAAUCUCUGAAUAUUUUGUUUAGCUUCAGCAUUGAAUCAACUCUAUAAAAUGAGGGGAUAUUUGACUUAGCUG